GUCCACGCCCUAAACGAUGUCAACUGGUUGUUGGGGGAUUAACUCCCUUAGUAACGAAGCUAACGCGUGAAGUUGACCGCCUGGGGAGUACGGCCGCAAGGUUAAAACUCAAAGGAAUUGACGGGGACCCGCACAAGCGGUGGAUUAUGUGGAUUAAUUCGAUGCAACGCGAAAAACCUUACCUACCCUUGACAUGCUAGGAAGCUUGCAGAGAUGCGAGUGUGCCCGAAAGGGAACCUAGACACAGGUGCUGCAUGGCUGUCGU
Molecule: ribosomal RNA, 265 nt
Filed under: uncultured bacterium
Lineage: Bacteria
Description: partial 16S ribosomal RNA
Rfam family: Bacterial small subunit ribosomal RNA
Source: RNAcentral